UACUCGAGUGGCGAACGGGUGAGUAACGCGUGGGUGAUCUGCCCUGCACUCUGGGAUAAGCCUGGGAAACUGGGUCUAAUACCGGAUAGGACCAUGCUUUAGUGUGUGUGGUGGAAAGUUUUUUCGGUGUAGGAUGAGCCCGCGGCCUAUCAGCUUGUUGGUGGGGUAAUGGCCUACCAAGGCGGCGACGGGUAGCCGGACCGAGAUGUUGGUCGGCCACAUUGGGACUGAGAUACGGCCCAG
Molecule: ribosomal RNA, 243 nt
Filed under: uncultured Actinomycetales bacterium
Lineage: Bacteria; Bacillati; Actinomycetota; Actinomycetes; Actinomycetales
Description: partial 16S ribosomal RNA
Rfam family: Bacterial small subunit ribosomal RNA
Source: RNAcentral